Molecule: ribosomal RNA, 430 nt
Filed under: Bacillota bacterium
Lineage: Bacteria; Bacillati; Bacillota
Description: Firmicutes bacterium partial 16S ribosomal RNA
Rfam family: Bacterial small subunit ribosomal RNA
Source: RNAcentral
UGGGGAAUAUUGGACAAUGGGGGGAACCCUGAUCCAGCCAUGCCGCGUGUGUGAAGAAGGCCUUAUGGUUGUAAAGCACUUUAAGCGAGGAGGAGGCUCUCUUGGUUAAUACCCAAGAUGAGUGGACGUUACUCGCAGAAUAAGCACCGGCUAACUCUGUGCCAGCAGCCGCGGUAAUACAGAGGGUGCGAGCGUUAAUCGGAUUUACUGGGCGUAAAGCGUGCGUAGGCGGCUUUUUAAGUCGGAUGUGAAAUCCCCGAGCUUAACUUGGGAAUUGCAUUCGAUACUGGGAAGCUAGAGUAUAGGAGAGGAUGGUAGAAUUCCAGGUGUAGCGGUGAAAUGCGUAGAGAUCUGGAGGAAUACCGAUGGCGAAGGCAGCCAUCUGGCCUAAUACUGACGCUGAGGUACGAAAGCAUGGGGAGCAAACAGG